Phyllopteryx taeniolatus (common seadragon) is the source of this 937-nucleotide long non-coding RNA. RefSeq lists it as uncharacterized. The transcript is spliced from 2 exons. The record is from RefSeq and is a predicted model, not a curated record. Lineage: Eukaryota; Metazoa; Chordata; Actinopteri; Syngnathiformes; Syngnathidae.
UUGUAAGCGAGCGGUGCCAACUUCCGCGGCGAGCGCCUCUUGCCGUAGCCUCGGCCCGGCCCGCAGCCCCCGCAGCCCGGCGUCAGGAGCAAGGCGCACGCGGCGACACACGUUAGCAGCCUUGGGAGCAGCAUUCCAGCCCGGACCGAUGUCCUCCUCCCCCACCCCCACCCCCGCCACCCCAGGGCAGGUGGUCAGAGGGUCAAGUGCCGAAGCGAGAAACUAUAGUUUGGACCUUCACAGUGCUGGGAGAAGAGCAGCACUCCCACCCGAGUCCCCCAAAGCUGCCAUUGCACGCGCGUAAGAUGGUGCGCGCCGCAGACGAGGUGCAAAGAGGGAACCUGCCAGCCUGCUGCCGACAAUCUAGUGUCCCGAGGCCACUUGGAGGCAGGGGCAUAAAUAGGCGAGGUGAGUUUGUCUUGGCAGGCGCGUUCAAAGCGGUCUCUCAGUCAGACGCGGAGGCGCGCGGCGGUCCAAGGGUGUCCCCGCAUGCAGCUCAAUGUUUCCCUGUUCGUCCGGGCCAUCCGAGCGUUUGGCAGUGCUGCCGGAGCAGGUGAUUGGACUACCGCUCAACUCCAGCACCUGGUAUUCCUAGGUGGUCUCCCAUCCAAGUACUAACCAGGACAGACCCUGAUGAGCUUCCGAGAUCGGGCAUUCUCAGGGUAUUUGUGGGCAAAAGGCAAAGAAAACAUGCAAUUAUGUUACAGAUUUUCUGCCAAAAUGAAAAGGAUAAAUACAUUAAGCAAAAAACAUUAAGUUGACAGACUAUUUGCCUUAGUGGGCUCCCAAAAAUUAUGUGGUGGGACAGAUCUGGCCCCCGGUCCUCAAGUUUGACACUAGCUAUUGCAAAGUCUGUGCUAGCUGAUUUGCAGCAAAUAGUCAAUUGCUUACUUCAGUCAGGUGAGUUUCCUAAAGUUCUUAAAGUAACCGUCAUUAA